Molecule: long non-coding RNA, 1077 nt
Filed under: Nothobranchius furzeri (turquoise killifish)
Lineage: Eukaryota; Metazoa; Chordata; Actinopteri; Cyprinodontiformes; Nothobranchiidae
Description: lncRNA (ENSNFUG00015020990.1)
Source: RNAcentral
AUGCCGCGUAGACCUGGCAUAUCCAAACACAUAGUGACGGUCUGCUGGGAAUGCCUGGCAGAAGAACCUGUCAAGACGGUCUUCAACUCCCACCUCCGGCAUAGCUUUGACCGCAUCCCAAGAGCAGUGGGGGACAUUGACUCCGAGUGGGCCUUGUUCCACUCUGCGAUUGUUGAGGCGGCUGUUGCUAGCUGUGGUCGCAAGGUGGCCGGUGCCAGUCGUGGUGGCAACCCCCGUACCCGCUGGUGGACACCAGAGGUUCGGGGAACUGUCAGGCUGAAUAAGGAGGCCUACAGGGUGUGGCUGGUCUGUGGGUCUCCGGAGGAAGCAGACAGGUACCGGAUAGCCAAGCGGGGUGCAGCAGUGGCAGUUGCAGAGGCAAAAUCUUGGGCGUGGGAGGAGUUUGGUGAGGCCAUGGAGAAAGACUAUCGAUCGGCUCCAAAGAGGUUCUGGCAAACUGUCUGGCGCCUCAGGAGAGGAAGGCUGCAACUCGCUCACACUGUUUACAGUGGGGAUGGGGAGCAGCUGACAUCAACUGGGACUAUAGUCGGACGGUGGAAGGAAUACUUUGAUGAGCUCCUCAAUCCCACUGAGGAGGAACCAGAGCCAGGAGACCUGGAGAUGGACUGUCCAAUCUCGGGGGCAGAAGUUGCUGAGGUAGUCAAACAACUACACAGCAGCAGAGCCCCGGGUGCGGAUGAGAAUUGUCCUGGGUAUCUCAAGGCAAUAGGGCUAUUGUGGUUAACACAUCUCUGCAACAUUGCAUGGUCAUCGGGGGCAGUUCCUGUGGAGUGGCAGACCGGGGUGGUGGUCUCCAUCUUUAAGAAGGGUGACUGGAGGUUGUGUUCCAAUUAUAGGGGGAUCACACUCCUCAGCCUCCCUGGAAAGGUCUACUCCAAGGUACUGGAGAGAAGGGUCCGAUCAACAGUUGAAUCUCAGAUUGAGGAGGAACAAUGUGGUUUUCAUCCUGGCCGUGGAACUGUGGAUCAACUCUAUACCCUUGCAAGGGUGAUGGAGGGGGCAUGGGAGUUUGCCCAACCAAUCCACAUGUUUUGUGGAUUUGGAGAAGGCUUAUGA